RNAcentral lists this unclassified non-coding RNA (156 nucleotides) under soil metagenome. RNAcentral describes it as "partial internal transcribed spacer 1". The record is from RNAcentral.
CUGAAUGACGUGUGGUCCUGGUUGUGGUAGGGGCCAUUUCCUUCCAUCAGAUUUGGUCAGAUGUCGGACCAGCUAGGGAUUCGGUUCUACCAUGCCUUUCACCAAACAAACCUGUCGUUGUAUGUGUAUGGCAUUUAAAGCAUAUAAAUAUAAAUA